This 195-nucleotide non-coding RNA is filed under the name Rhodobacter capsulatus. RNAcentral also lists the same sequence under 1 other name. The record is from RNAcentral. Lineage: Bacteria; Pseudomonadati; Pseudomonadota; Alphaproteobacteria; Rhodobacterales.
UUUGGCUUGACGUGUUCAAGUUCCGGCCUGCGGGUCGGAUUGAAAGGGAACACGGAACGGCCUCCGGGCCCAGACCGUGGCUGCCCCCGCAACUGUGAGCGGCGAGCGACGUCGACAUGCCACUGGGCCCGCCCGGGAAGGCCGACAGAGCGAAGACCCGCGAGCCAGGAGACCUGCUUGGACAUUCACCCUUUC